This 196-nucleotide small nuclear RNA is filed under the name Polymyxa betae. Lineage: Eukaryota; Endomyxa; Phytomyxea; Plasmodiophorida; Plasmodiophoridae. The record is from RNAcentral.
AUACUUACCUUGAAGGUGCCCAGUAGUACAGCUACAUUCUGGUCGAUCAUUAAGGACCGUGGGCUAUAGUGGAGCGGCCCAACUGCACGCGUUGUGAUAUACGCAGGGUGUCUGUGAAGCUAUAUGGCUUCAGCACAAGCUGGGGUCGACUUCGUAAUUUAUGAGUCGCGGGGACCAGAGUACGCUCUAUCCUUGG